RNAcentral lists this RNase P RNA (261 nucleotides) under Acinetobacter baumannii. RNAcentral describes it as "partial RNase P RNA component class A". It matches the Rfam family "Bacterial RNase P class A", at positions 92 to 352 of the family's 367-position model. Rfam says of the family: Ribonuclease P (RNase P) is a ubiquitous endoribonuclease, found in archaea, bacteria and eukarya as well as chloroplasts and mitochondria. The record is from RNAcentral. Lineage: Bacteria; Pseudomonadati; Pseudomonadota; Gammaproteobacteria; Moraxellales; Moraxellaceae.
GGGUAACCCGACGGAAAGUGCCACAGAGAAAAGACCGCCAGCGGCCAGGCCAAGGCCUGGUGCGGGCAAGGGUGAAACGGUGGGGUAAGAGCCCACCGCGCCUCCUGGAAACAGGGGCGGCACGGCAAACCCCACCCGGUGCAAGGCCCAGUAGAGGGGAAGGGCUUGCCCGGCCCGCCACAACCCCUGGGAUGGGCCGCUUGAGGCCGGCGGCGACGCCGGUCCCAGAGAGAUGACCGCCGAAAACAGAACCCGGCUUAC